Oncorhynchus tshawytscha (Chinook salmon) is the source of this 2347-nucleotide long non-coding RNA. NCBI's taxonomy places the organism in Eukaryota, Metazoa, Chordata, Actinopteri, Salmoniformes, Salmonidae. The record is from Ensembl.
AGAGGGGAAUCACCCACCUGGUGUCCCAGGUCUAAAUCGGUCCCUGAUUAGUGGAGAAUCACCCACCUGGUGUCCCAGGUCUAAAUCAGUCCCUGAUUAGAGGGGAAUCACCCACCUGGUGUCCCAGGUCUAGUCCCUGAUUAGAGGGGAAUCACCCACCUGGUGUCCCAGGUCUAGUCCCUGAUUAGAGGGGAAUCACCCACCUGGUGUCCCAGGUCUAGUCCCUGAUUAGAGGGGAAUCACCCACCUGGUGUCCCAGGUCUAAAUCAGUCCCUGAUUAGAGGAGAAUCACCCACCUGGUGUCCCAGGUCUAAAUUAGGCCCUGAUUAGAGGGGAAUCACCCACCUGGUGUCCCAGGUCUAAAUCAGUCCCUGAUUAGUGGAGAAUCUCUCACCUGGUGUCCCAGGUCUAGACCCUGAUGAGAGGAGAACAGUGGCGCUGGCUUGGAGCUCCAGGGUCCUAGAGGUCAUAGCUGUUCUACAUGUUAUUCUAUGGGUUUAAUCAGCCAGGAUCAGCUGUUUUCAUCUCCAGUGUGUUUUGCUGUACAGCAGGUUUCUCAAACUCGGUCCCGGGGCCCCUCUUGGGUACACUGGUUGUUGUCCUAGCACGACACAGCUGACUCAAAUAAUCAAAGCUUGACGAUGAGUUGGUUAUUUGAAUCGGCUAUGUACUGCUUGGACAACAACUAAAACAUGUGUAUACACACACAUAUGUCUGCCCUUGUUUGUGGGCUAAAGGAGAUCUGUUGGAUCAUGUAGCUCCAACCAGCUUAUAAAAACCAUUGAAUCAUGUUGAUGAGACAGGUCCUUCUGAAGAGAUAGGAACCUCUCUGCUCCUACAUGUUGAUGAGACAGGUCCUUCUGAGGAAACACGGACCUCUCUGCUCCUACAUGUUGAUGAGACAGGUCCUUCUGAAGAGAUAGGAACCUCUCUGCGCCUACACUCCUGCACAGAAAAAUAUCUUUCAUCACAGACCACCUCGUUAGAUCAUUGAGCUGAGCCAGAGACUGGGCUAUCUCUCUGCUAAAUCACAAUGUUUAUUAAAUCAUUGUGUCCAGAGUUGUUUAUCUCUCGUUAUCGCUCCCUGUUGGUAUGUGGUGGGGGGAGGAGAGGGAGAGUGCGGCUCUUUAACACUAAUGUGGGUAUAUCUCUGUCAUUUACAGUAGCCUGGGGAGGGAUGUUACAUGUAGGAAGCAGCCUGGGGAGGGAGGGAUGGAUGUUACACUGAAAGGCGUGAGGAAAGAAGUAGCACAUGCCACACCUCCCUGUCACUCAGUGGUCGCUAUGGAGCCUGCCGUGGUUGCCAUGGUGUUGUCGGGGAGGGGCAGUAGGAGAGGUUAAAGGAGACAGAAGAGUGACAUCAUACUCUCUUUCAGCUCCAGGGCUUUAUGGUUGACGUGAAGCGUUCAGAACGUUGCAGAUAGAAAUAGAUUAACUACAGCUGGAACGACUCCCUGUUCUACAUAACAGACCUGCCCAUGUUUGUUCUACACAAUACAUUUCUACAUCCUGAUAUGGUGGAGGCUGAUUAAAAGACGUUCUCGAGGGGCUUUAUUGGCAUGGGAAACAUGCCUACAAGUGAGAAAUAUUAAACAAAAGUGAGAAGGCAAAACAUCAACAACAAAUCGAUUAGAAUUUAACAGUAAACAUUGCACUCAAAAAGGUUUUUACAAAAAAAAAUCAACAUUUCAAAUAGUCUGUUUUGAUUUUUCUUUUCAAAUUCUUUGUGUUUCUGUGUGAAAUAUGUAUCUGUAAUGUGAUUAUACAUUUAGCAUGAGGUCAGGAAGUGCAGCUCAGUCUCACUCUCAGGGCUCUGGCAGACAAAGAUCACGGACACUGCUGAUACUCUUAGACACACACAUUGUGUUAAUGGUGCUGUCACUACACACACACACACACACACAGACGACAUGUAUGCAUCAGGUGCAUGUUGUAUGGACCAGGUCGCAGAGGUUAUAGUUCAGGGUUCAACCUCCUUUCUGUUUCUCCAUCACUCAACGACACUGUCAGAGUUUGUUUUUAUUUUGACUUAUCCUGUAUUCCUUCCUUUUUCUUUUCUUUUUUUAUAGAAAUGUUUUUUUUAUAGCUUUUUGUUACUCAAGACGAGAGGUUUUUAAAAGCAUAAAUGAAGGUGACGAUGUGUUUAUUAGCGUUAGCGGUGGUGAUGUGUGUUGUAGGCUGUUUCAGCAUGAUGGAAUCACAUGAAACUGUUUCAACACUGAGAUGAAGACCUACUGUUAACCGGUGAGCUGUAAUAAAAUAUUAACUGAAAGGUCAUGUUCCUCAUAUUUCUGUCCUGUUGUGUCGGUGUACACUGCUACACACCACAUUCCCUCUCCCCAGCAGU